RNAcentral lists this ribosomal RNA (458 nucleotides) under uncultured bacterium. RNAcentral describes it as "partial 16S ribosomal RNA". It matches the Rfam family "Bacterial small subunit ribosomal RNA", at positions 29 to 507 of the family's 1533-position model. The record is from RNAcentral.
AACGAACGCUGGCGGCAUGCCUAACACAUGCAAGUCGAACGAGACCUUCGGGUCUAGUGGCGCACGGGUGCGUAACGCGUGGGAACCUGCCCUUAGGUUCGGAAUAACUCCCCGAAAGGGGUGCUAAUACCGGAUAAUGUCUUCGGACCAAAGAUUUAUCGCCUUUGGAUGGGCCCGCGUUGGAUUAGCUAGUUGGUAGGGUAAAAGCCUACCAAGGCGACGAUCCAUAGCUGGUCUGAGAGGAUGAUCAGCCACACUGGGACUGAGACACGGCCCAGACUCCUACGGGAGGGAGCAGUAGGGAAUCUUAGACCAUGGGCGAAAGCCUGAUGGAGCAACGCAGCGUGGGUGAAGAAGGUCUUCGGAUCGUAAAACCAUGUUGUUAGGGAAGAAAGGGAGUGAGAGUAAAUGUUCACGUUUCGACGGUAGCUAAACAGAAAGCAAAGGCUAACUAAGUG